UUGAAAGCGCACGACUUAUGAGGCAACGCUGCCGCCUGACUUGUAGUGCAGAUAAUUAUGCAGGAAGGAGAUCUGAUGAGGACCAUAUUGUCAGUUUGAAACCUAACAGCAUGACGUCAGGCCUAUUUUCUGUCUACCAGCGUUUCAUCCCGUUGAGUUUUAGCUGCGGUGCCAGUAAUGGCCGUCGGGACUUACGAGGUUGGAUGGUUUCGCUUUUCUGGCCCUUGAAUGUCGCACCGAGGCCUUUGUCUUUGCUGGUGAUUUAAACCCUUGCUCAUACGCCGUGGCCGCUUUUACUGUUGGGUUUCCUCCGCCGGGCUGUUCUACGUUAAAAAGCCGUUUACGCAGCUGCGGCACAGACAGGGCCUCGGUUACGCGACGGGUCACUCCGACAUCUGUGUUCAGUCUAAAUGCAGCCAUCGUGUCCACUUAAAAUUAAGAGAUGACUUGUCACAGGCAGUCAUUGUUUCCACUGCUAUUCUUUUUAACUACAGUAUGACAGAAUUGGAGAUUUACAAGGAACAUCAAUACUCCUAACUGAACGCACAUGCGGGAUUCACAAAGAGAAUCGCCGCUCUGCGGGUCUGCAUCCUGGAUAAGUGGACAGGCAUUGGUUGUGCUUGGUUUGGGGAAACUUGCUCGUAAGGUCAAUCCGUGCCUCUGUCCCGUUGACAAGACUCCAGGACGCCUCUGCUUCUGCUCAAGAAGUAAGUAUAGAUUCAUCCGUCCUCAUGCAGUCUUCCACCAAACAUUCCCACUGGCCAAACUAAUUUUUCGUUUCCUCUUCAUGACGGUACUGAAAGUUGUGCAAGCCGAUUUCUUCCACUCAAAAUAUUCUGCAACAGCCUUGAUGAUGUGAUGUUAAGCAUGCACUACAGUGACUCAGAAGGUAGGAGUUUGUGUACAACCCACAAGUCACUGCAUCUGUCUGCAGCAAUAUGGGUGCUGCUGCCGCCUGUCAUAGUGAAGAAAGAACUGAGCCAAAGAGCAAAGAUCUUGAUUUUCCAAUUUUCCAACCCCAUUUUCUAUGUCAUGAGAUAUGGCUCAAGAUCCUUCACACAAGCUGCUGAGAUGAGCAGAGUUUCAGGGCGCAGUAAGAGAAAUAGGGUGGUGAGUGUGGAUUGGGGCCACUGCUCCUCUAAAUCAGAAGGAGUUAGUUGAAGUGGUUCCAGCGUCUGAUCAGUCAACUUUGGGGCAAAAAAGCCAAAAAAAAACUUGUGAACUUCUCUGGUAAGCACUUCCUUUUAACUGCGGACACAGUUGCAUAAUUAUAGUUGUGCAGAAUAAGGAAAAUGCUGAUAACAUGAUGAUUACAUAACUUCUUUUAAGCAUUGAACCGUUAUUCUCUACUACAGCUGAAAAAGUAAAACCUUUGUUC
Molecule: long non-coding RNA, 1378 nt
Organism: Poecilia latipinna (sailfin molly)
Lineage: Eukaryota; Metazoa; Chordata; Actinopteri; Cyprinodontiformes; Poeciliidae
Exons: 4
Source: RefSeq, a predicted model, not a curated record